GUGAGUCAUCGAAUCUUUGAACGCACAUUGCGCCCUCUAGUAUUCUGGAGGGCAUGCCUGUUCGAGCGUCACUACAACACUCAAGCUCUGCUUGGCGUUGGGGCGAUACGACGAAUUCCUUUCGACGUAGGCCCCGAAAAUCAGUGGCGGGACUGCGAGGAACCCGGACGAAGUAACUACUACAGCGUCUAGGGAUGCCGAGCUGAUCUCUAGCCAUAAACCGGGCCUAAAAACCCACAUUUAACCAGUGUUGACCUCGGAUCAGGUAGGAAUACCCGCUGAACUUAAGCAUAUCAAUAAGCGGAGGA
RNAcentral lists this unclassified non-coding RNA (308 nucleotides) under Sordariales sp. RNAcentral describes it as "partial contains 5.8S ribosomal RNA, internal transcribed spacer 2, and large subunit ribosomal RNA". The stretch from base 1 to 71 matches the Rfam family "5.8S ribosomal RNA", at positions 84 to 154 of the family's 154-position model. Lineage: Eukaryota; Fungi; Ascomycota; Sordariomycetes; Sordariales. The record is from RNAcentral.